Molecule: ribosomal RNA, 494 nt
Filed under: uncultured bacterium
Lineage: Bacteria
Description: partial 16S ribosomal RNA
Rfam family: Bacterial small subunit ribosomal RNA
Source: RNAcentral
ACUCAAAGGAAUAGACGGGGACCCGCACAAGCGGUGGAUGAUGUGGAUUAAUUCGAUGCAACGCGAAAAACCUUACCUACCCUUGACAUGCUCGGAAUUCUUCAGAGAUGUGGAAGUGCCCGAAAGGGAGCCGAGACACAGGUGCUGCAUGGCUGUCGUCAGCUCGUGUCGUGAGAUGUUGGGUUAAGUCCCGCAACGAGCGCAACCCUUGUCACUAGUUGCUACGAAAGGGCACUCUAGUGAAACUGCCGGUGACAAACCGGAGGAAGGUGGGGAUGACGUCAAGUCCUCAUGGCCCUUAUGGGUAGGGCUUCACACGUCAUACAAUGGUCGGUACAAAGGGCUGCCAACCUGCAAGGGGGAGCUAAUCCCAAAAAACCGAUCGUAGUCCGGAUUGCAGUCUGCAACUCGACUGCAUGAAGUCGGAAUCGCUAGUAAUCGCGGAUCAGCAUGUCGCGGUGAAUACGUUCCCGGGUCUUGCACACACCGCCCGU